RNAcentral lists this ribosomal RNA (1198 nucleotides) under Salmonella enterica. RNAcentral's name for it is "partial 23S ribosomal RNA". It matches the Rfam family "Bacterial large subunit ribosomal RNA", at positions 532 to 1735 of the family's 2925-position model. Lineage: Bacteria; Pseudomonadati; Pseudomonadota; Gammaproteobacteria; Enterobacterales; Enterobacteriaceae. The record is from RNAcentral.
AACGGAGCGAAAGCGACGUUCAACCGCAAAAGAAGCAGAGGGGGCUUAGUGGUGGGGUGACUGCGUACCUUUUGUAUAAUGGGUCAGCGACUUAUAUUCUGUAGCAAGGUUAACCGUAUAGGGGAGCCGGAGGGAAACCGAGUCUUAAUUGGGCGUUAAGUUGCAGGGUAUAGACCCGAAACCCGGUGAUCUAGCCAUGGGCAGGUUGAAGGUUGGGUAACACUAACUGGAGGACCGAACCGACUAAUGUUGAAAAAUUAGCGGAUGACCUGUGGCUGGGGGUGAAAGGCCAAUCAAACCGGGAGAUAGCUGGUUCUCCCCGAAAGCUAUUUAGGUAGCGCCUCGUGAAUUCAUCUCCGGGGGUAGAGCACUGUUUCGGCUAGGGGGCCAUCCCGGCUUACCAACCCGAUGCAAACUGCGAAUACCGGAGAAUGUUAUCACGGGAGACACACGGCGGGUGCUAACGUCCGUCGUGAAGAGGGAAACAACCCAGACCGCCAGCUAAGGUCCCAAAGUCAUGGUUAAGUGGGAAACGAUGUGGGAAGGCCCAGACAGCCAGGAUGUUGGCUUAGAAGCAGCCAUCAUUUAAAGAAAGCGUAAUAGCUCACUGGUCGAGUCGGCCUGCGCGGAAGAUGUAACGGGGCUAAACCAUGCACCGAAGCUGCGGCAGCGACACUCAGGUGUUGUUGGGUAGGGGAGCGUUCUGUAAGCCUGUGAAGGUGGCCUGUGAGGGUUGCUGGAGGUAUCAGAAGUGCGAAUGCUGACAUAAGUAACGAUAAAGCGGGUGAAAAGCCCGCUCGCCGGAAGACCAAGGGUUCCUGUCCAACGUUAAUCGGGGCAGGGUGAGUCGACCCCUAAGGCGAGGCCGAAAGGCGUAGUCGAUGGGAAACGGGUUAAUAUUCCCGUACUUGGUGUUACUGCGAAGGGGGGACGGAGAAGGCUAUGUUGGCCGGGCGACGGUUGUCCCGGUUUAAGCGUGUAGGUGUGUGUUCCAGGUAAAUCCGGUUCACUUUAACACUGAGGCGUGAUGACGAGGCACUACGGUGCUGAAGCAACAAAUGCCCUGCUUCCAGGAAAAGCCUCUAAGCAUCAGGUAACAUCAAAUCGUACCCCAAACCGACACAGGUGGUCAGGUAGAGAAUACCAAGGCGCUUGAGAGAACUCGGGUGAAGGAACUAGGCAAAAUGGUGCCGUAACU